Pan troglodytes (chimpanzee) is the source of this 13621-nucleotide RNA transcript. It is a transcript of the gene named cytosolic phospholipase A2 beta-like, with no coding region annotated. Lineage: Eukaryota; Metazoa; Chordata; Mammalia; Primates; Hominidae. The transcript has 25 exons. The record is from RefSeq and is a predicted model, not a curated record.
GGACAAACCCCCAACUCCGCUCCACUUCUACCGGGACUGGGUCUGCCCCAACAGGCCGUGCAUCAUUCGCAACGCUCUGCAGCACUGGCCGGCCCUCCAGAAGUGGUCCCUCCCCUAUUUCAGGUGGGAGCUGCCCUGGGGUCAGGUGUGAGCAGUGAUUACUGGCAUCUGGGCAUGGGCUGAGUGUCCAUUCCUCUAGAGCCACAGUGGGCUCCACAGAGGUGAGUGUGGCCGUGACCCCAGAUGGUUACGCGGAUGCCGUGAGAGGGGAUCACUUCAUGAUGCCAGCUGAGCGCCGCCUGCCCCUGAGCUUCGUGCUGGAUGUGCUGGAGGGCCGGGCCCAGCACCCUGGAGUCCUCUAUGUGCAGAAGCAGUGCUCCAACCUGCCCACCGAGCUGCCCCAGCUGCUGCCUGAUCUGGAAUCCCAUGUGCCCUGGGCCUCCGAAGCCCUGGGAAAGAUGCCCGAUGCUGUGAACUUCUGGCUGGGGGAGGUGGCUGCGGUGACUUCUUGUAGGUUGCACAAGGACCACUAUGAGAACCUCUACUGCGUGGUCUCAGGAGAGAAGCAUUUCCUGUUCCAUCCGCCCAGCGAUCGGCCCUUCAUCCCCUAUGAGCUGUACACGCCGGCAACCUACCAGCUAACUGAAGAGGGCGCCUUUAAGGUGGUGGAUGAAGAGGCCAUGGAGAAGGCAGAGGAGUCCAGGACCUGCCUGCUCACGGUUCGUGUCCUGCGGGCCCAUCACCUACCCUCUAAGGACCUAGUGACCCCCUCUGACUGCUACGUGACUCUCUGGCUGCCCACGGCCUGCAGCCACAGGCUCCAGACACGCUCGGUCAAGAACAGCAGUAGCCCUGUCUGGAACCAGAGCUUUCACUUCAGGAUCCACAGGCAGCUCAAGCCCUGUCACUCGUUUCCCCUCCAGAAUGUCAUGGAACUGAAAGUCUUUGACCAGGACCUGGUGACCGGAGAUGACCCUGUGUUGUCAGUACUGUUUGAUGCGGGGACUCUGCGGGCUGGGGAGUUCCGGCGUGAGAGCUUCUCACUGAGCCCUCAGAGUGAGGGGCACCUGGAAGUUGAAUUUCGCCUGCAGAGUCUGGCUGACCGUGGCGAGUGGCUCGUCAGCAAUGGCGUUCAGGUGGCCCGGGAGCUCUCCUGCUUGCACGUUCAACUGGAGGAGACAGGAGACCAGAAGUCCUCAGAGCACAGAGUUCAGCUUGUGGUUCCUGGGUCCUGUGAGGGUCCGCAGGAGGCCUCUGUGGGCACUGGCACCUUCCGCUUCCACUGCCCAGCCUGCUGGGAGCAGGAGCUGAGUAUUCACCUGCAGGAUGCCCCUGAGGAGCAACUAAAGGUGCCACUGAGUGCCCUGCCCUCUGGUCAAGUGGUGAGUCUUGUCUUCCCCACGUCCCAGGAGCCCCUGAUGAGAGUGGAGCUGAAAAAAGAAGCAGGACUGAGGGAGCUGGCCAUGCGACUGGGCUUCGGGCCCUGUGCAGAGGAGCAGGCCUUCCUGAGCAGGAGGAAGCAGGUGGUGGCCGCGGCCUUGAGGCAGGCCCUGCAGCUGGACAGAGACCUGCAGGAGGAUGAGAUCCCAGUGGUAGCUAUUAUGGCCACUGGUGGUGGGAUCCGGGCAAUGACUUCCCUGUAUGGGCAGCUGGCUGGCCUGAAGGAACUGGGCCUCUUGGAUUGCGUCUCCUGCAUCACCAGGGCCUCGGGCUCCACCUGGGCCUUGGCUUUUCCCAGGGCCUUGGCCAACCUUUACGAGGACCCAGAGUGGUCUCAGAAGGACCUGGCAGGGCCCACUGAGUUGCUGAAGACCCAGGUGACCAAGAACAAGCUGGGUGUGCUGGCCCCCAGCCAGCUGCAGCGGUACCGGCAGGAGCUGGCCGAGCGUGCCCGCUUGGGCUACCCAAGCUGCUUCACCAACCUGUGGGCCCUCAUCAACGAGGCGCUGCUGCAUGAUGAGCCCCAUGAUCACAAGCUCUCAGAUCAACGGGAGGCCCUGAGUCAUGACCAGAACCCUCUGCCCAUCUACUGUGCCCUCAACACCAAAGGGCAGAGCCUGACCACUUUGGAAUUUGGUGAGUGGUGUGAGUUCUCUCCCUACGAGGUCGGCUUCCCCAAGUACGGGGCCUUCAUCCCCUCCGAGUUCUUUAUGGGGCAGCUGAUGAAGAGGCUUCCUGAGUCCCGCAUCUGCUUCUUAGAAGGUAUCUGGAGCAACCUGUAUGCAGCCAACCUCCAGGACAGCUUAUACUGGGCCUCGGAGCCCAGCCAGUUCUGGGACCGCUGGGUCAGGAACCAGGCCAACCUGGACAAGGAGCAGGUCCCCCUUCUGAAGAUAGAAGUACCACCCUCAACAGCCGGCAGGAUAGCUGAGUUUUUCACCGAUCUUCUGACGUGGUGUCCACUGGCCCAGGCCACACAUAAUUUCCUGCGUGGCCUCCAUUUCCACAAAGACUACUUUCAGCAUCCUCACUUCUCUACAUGGAAAGCUACCACUCUGGAUGGGCUCCCCAACCAGCUGACACCCUCGGAGCCCCACCUGUGCCUGCUGGAUGUUGGCUACCUCCUCAAUACCAGCUGCCUGCCCCUCCUGCAGCCCACUCGGGACGUGGACCUCAUCCUGUCAUUGGACUACAACCUCCACGGAGCCUUCCAGCAGUUGCAGCUCCUGGGCCGGUUCUGCCAGGAGCAGGGGAUCCCGUUCCCACCCAUCUCGCCCAGCCCCGAAGAGCAGCUCCAGCCUCGGGAGUGCCACACCUUCUCCGACCCCACCUGCCCCGGAGCCCCUGCGGUGCUGCACUUUCCUCUGGUCAGCGACUCCUUCCGGGAGUACUCGGCCCCUGGGGUCCGGCGGCCACCCGAGGAGGCGGCAGCUGGGGAGGUGAACCUGUCUUCAUCGGACUCUCCCUACCACUACACGAAGGUGACCUACAGCCAGGAGGACGUGGACAAGUUCCUGCACCUGACACAUUACAAUGUCUGCAACAACCAGGAGCAGCUGCUGGAGGCUCUGCGCCAGGCAGUGCAGCGGAGGCGGCAGCGCAGGCCCCACUGAUAGUUAAGGGUGGCAGGGGCCCCGGCCAACUCUCAUUCAUUCCUUGGCUGCUGAGUUGCAGACAGGAAUGCAGGGGGAGGCCAGGCAAUGGCUGUUUCCUGCCACAUGGGUAUGGCCACCCCAGAAUCUUCUCCAAACAAACAAACACUGGUGCCCCUGCCCUCCCCUGGACCAGCCAGCCUCCUAGAAUAAGCGUGGGAGUGGAUUCCAGAGCUGACAGGCGCUGCGGCAGCGACCACAGUGACGGGUGAGUGGGUCGGAAUUGCUUCGACUUUCAUAACCCAACUCUACAUCUGUCAGCUGGCCUAGCGGCCCCAGCCCUGGGUUAGAGACAGCAGAAAAAAUGGCUGUCCUGGUAGCCUCAGGAGCCCCUGUGUCCAGGACAAGGCCUGUCCCGUCAGCAACACAUCAUCUAAAUCAUAUAUUGGGCUCUGCAGGACUGGGAGCAGAUGGUUACACUGGAGACCACAGCCGUGGCUGCCACCCCUCAUGGUAUGAGCCCUCCAGGCACACGGCUGUAUAUGCGUGUGCACGUCUAGGCACAUCCUGGCAUGGGGCCUAUGCACGGAGGAUUUGCCUGUCUCCAGUCCCUCCUCCACUUUCACCUAACCUCAGGUGUCCCCUCCCCCUGGAGAGCCUGAAGCCCUCUGGUUUGGAAGGGAAGGACAUGUGGGUGAGGGGGGUUGAGCAUCGAAAUGAUGCUGGGAUCUACAAGGAGGGACUGAGGAGCCAGGUAAGAGCCUCCUGCCCCCGCACAUCCACCUUCGCAUCUCCUCCCUGGCCUGCAGGCCGGGACGUGCUGGCCCUCUCCAUUGCCAUGGAGUGGGGAUUGGGGAAAGCAGGGGAGGACCAGGUAGAGAACGGGUUGGAACAAGGGUGGGGCAGGGUCUGGCCGUCCUGCCAAUGUGCUGUGCCUUGGAGAGGGGAGAGGAGGGAGGAAAGUGAGGAGUGCGUGGGAAACAAACCCAGGCAGGCCCUCAGCACUGGGCAGAGGGAAACCUGGCUGCUCCUCCCACAAGCAGCCGAGCAGGAAGGGCACAGGGAGCCUGGGCAACUUCGUCUACAGGGUCCCCACACCAGAGCAUGGAGUGAGCCCUGGGAGGGGACCACUGUUGAGUCUGUGGAAAUCUGGGCUUUGUGGCCUGGAUUCCUCUCAGCUGAGAGUGGGCAGGGGCAGCUGAGGGUUCCAAUAGCAUUUCCCUACAGCCCGACAGAGUAAGUCUGAGGCCCAGAACCUCAGGCUUCAGAGGACAGCGCCUGCCAGCCACUGAAGCCCAGGGCUCCCCGCCCUGCUUCCCCCACCCAGGUGUCCCACCUGAGUAGACAUCCAGGCCGGGCAUCCUUGGUCGUGCACUCAUUCAGAGAGCUGACAGGUUUGGCUUUGAGUUCCGGGCUCAGACUCUGGGCUGCAGAGCAAGGGAAUAACCACUGUUAGCCCGGCCCAGACCAUCUGCAGGCGCCAGGUCUGGCUGCUCCUUCCUCCAGCUUCUGGAGGCUCAGCACAGCCUUAGGCAGCCUGGCCAUGCCAGGCCCUUCCCACGUGGGGGUGUGGGGCCGGCUGAGCACUUGUGGGCAGGUUUUUCCCCCAUGCGUCCUGCCUCUUAGGAAACUCCUCACAGGUGAGUUAAGAAAGGCUGAGCCUUUCUUAGGAGGUGGGGGAUUCUGGAAUGUCGAACAACUCAAGAUCCCUUUGGGCUUCUGGGAAGACAGACUCCUGGGAGGAGAGUCCAGGGGAACCAGCGACAGAGCUAGGAUCCCAGACACAUUCCCUGAACACACUGUCCACACGGAGCCUCAGCAGAGCACGCUGACCACGGAAGAAAUUCCAAAGGGUUGUCUCUAUAUAUUCCUCCAAGUAGAACCUGGCUUGCUUACUGUCUGCAAAACAACUCGAGGGUGGUGACAUUCAAAGUUGUCUGAGGACUAGAAGGUUAGAGAAGCACCCAGAUCAGACAGAACAGAGCCUGGAAAGCCCUUGGAGGAACACAGUCCAUGAGGAUUGUGGCAGGAAGGGCUUGGGGCAGUCUGAGUGGCAGACUCCAAAAGGGGCAGAACAGGACCAGGACACAGCUGGGAGUUCAAAACUGGCCCCAUCUCUGCUAAUUAGCUGUGUGAUCUUGGGCAAGUUGCGUAACCUCUCCAAGACCUAAAUUCUUUGAGAAAAAACAGUAAGUCCCACUUCUUGGAGGUUAGAGAUGCUAACUGUGAAACCUCCCUAGGAUGCAUAAAACACUAGGGGCCCAGGAGCUUGGGGCCCAGGGAGUUGGCCGCCCUCCCCGCAUCCUUCCCCUGAAGCCCACCUGCAGUGCUGCCCAGGGCUCGCCACCAGCUCUCAGCCUGCUCUUCGGACGGUGCUGCAAACAGGAUCUCUGCCCCACUGGUCAGCCUGGCACCCACACAGUCACAGGUCAAACUCCACUGUCCCUUUGGGGACCCCCACGCCUCCAGCCCCCGCUGAGCCAGGUGGCUGCUGGGGGCGAUGCCGGAGUCCAUGUCUCUCCACUCACCUUAAGGAGAAUAUGUGUUUCCUGCCAUGGCGGCCCCGCAGCCUCUCACACCGGGCUCCCGUGAGGUCAAGGAGGGCUAUGGAAGCUACUUUCUGAGGAGAGAUGAGAGGCAGGGGUCACUGCGGCCAUCUCAGCUUUUCCCUGUGGGGUCCCUCUGUCCUAGGGCCCCUCUGCCUUGUUUCCCAGCACCCUGAUGUCUGCAUCUCCCCUACCCCGCCUGGUACCUCCGCUGCCAUCCUCUCAUCCAGGAACAGGCUCAGAGAGCUGCCCUGCAAGGUCCCGCGGCAGCUGUCCCAGGAGCUCGAGCUAGGCUGUGGAGAGGAGGCGGGAAGGUUGCAUGAGCCACACGCAGGAAGCCAGAGCUAGGGCCUGUCCACGCCUCACCGUGUGUCUGGAGCUUCCCAGGAAAAGUGGUGGAUUGGACCAAAGUCCCAAUGGGGAAAGGGAAGCCACAGAGGGGCUCUGACGGGAAACCAGAAGGGGAAGAGCAGGUGGGGAGGAGGAAUCCCAGCACCUCCUGGGGGGGUGGGUAGGUGGGGGCGGUGGCAGAAGCUGGGAAGGGUCCCAAGGAGCCAAACUGCCUGGACAGCAUGGUGGGGGGUGGCAUCUGCCCAAGUUCACAGUGCAAGGGUGCCAGGCCCAGGUGGCUCUUCGAGCCACUCAAGUGCUGCUGCAAGUGGGGAGCUGCCUGGAGAAGGAAUCUCCAGGCACUCACCUGCCUCCCGCCAGGCAGCAGGUGCUGCUUGAACUCCAAAGACCCCUCCAUGGUGGGGGUACCCUUUGCAUCCUGAAAAUGCAAGAUGGGGCCCAGAAAUGUCAGGACCAGCACCCUCAGGAAGGUGGGCAAGGCACCCACUGCCCCCGGCUCUCUCUAUUCCCCCCAUCCAAGUACUAACCAGGCCUGACCCUGCUUAGCUUCUAAGAUCAGAUGAGAUCGGGCAUGUUCAGGGUGGUAUGGCUGUAGACAGCCAUCUUUAUUCCUAAUGACCUUCAGCUCCUGUACCCGGGCUCCCAGCACUGGCUCCAGGGUGUGGGCCCUCACCCCCACAGCCCCAGCCCCAGCCCCAGUGCAUGCUCCAGGGAGACCACGGCGGGGGCGCCUGCAGCCCCAUGGGGACACCUGCCUGGGGGUCCCUCGUCUCAGCCAGCUGUGCUCCUAGCCCCUGGUGUCCAGAGGGCCUCCACUGAAAGGAUGUCAGCGAGCUGCCAGCUCUCCCGGGCUUCAGCUCCUGUGGCUGCAGCAGGAGCUCCUGUUCCAUCUUGGGGAGUGGGCAAGGUGAGCCAGGUCAGGGAGACCAGCCACACCUUGGGUUCCCGUCUACCUCCCCUCCCCCAGCCCUCCCGGUCAGAGGGGGCCUGCCUCCCCAUCACUAGCUCUUUCAGCUUUGGCUCUGGAGGCUCACACCCAGUCCACAAUGGUGCCUCUCCCACCACCGCAGCUGGCCAGGGAAAGGAGCAGGUAAGGCAGGGCCGGGUGAGGGCUCAGUGCUCUGGGAGACACUGAUUUGCAGGCUGAGAGGGACUGUUCCCCCACCAGCCCUCAGCCCCUAGCCGAGGCAGUCAUCACCUCUGUCUUCUGCAUUUGGGCAAACUUCUCUUCCUGGGCUGCCAGCAGCUUUUCUAAGUCCUGGUGUCUGUGCAGCAGCAACUCCACAUCUGACACUGAGUGCUGGGGAGAAGCAUGUUCAGGUGAGGCCCAGCUUAGGGGGGGCCCAGAGCCUGGUAGCCAGCUAAGGGGCAGGACCCCCACUCACCCCAUAGUCGGGUUUCAGCAGGAGGCCCUCCCGGCAGGCCAGCCAGGCCUCAGCCUGCUCCAGCCUCUGCCGAAGCUUCUGCAGGCCCCAGCUCUCGGCACAGCAUUGCCAGCGCAGGGCCCAAGCCUCCUCCAGCUCCUGCAGCCGCCCUUCCAGCUCCUGCAGGCACUCUGUCACCUGGUGGGGAGGGGCUGCUAUGGGUGACAGCUUGGGUAGGGCUCCCACCAUGGGCAGGGCAGGGCUGGAGAGCCAAGUGUUAAUGGAAGUGCAGAGGGAAGGCUGUGAGACCCGCACCUCCCCCUUCCCAGCCUCUCUCCCUGCCUGCGCCCAGCCUUCCUUUCCCGCUGGUUUCCAUGCCUGUGAGGGGCCCUGAGGCCCUGGGCAAUCAGGCUGUAUCCCCAGCCCAACCCCAGGCCCACCCUCUGAGUUCACACCUCCGCAGACAUGAAGUGGCUGUUGUCCACCAGCUGCUGUCCUUCCUGCCGCAGGUCCUGGGCUUGAAGGCGGCACUCCCUGAUUUCUUGCCCCAGCUCUUCAUGCUGCCCAAGGAGCUGCUCAGCCCCCGCCACAUCCUCAGCCAGCUCCUCGGAGGACGCCAGCUCCUGCCUCUCCUGUGCCCAUGCUCUGUGGGGCAGGGAAGGGAGCUGUUGUCAGGGCUGGCUGGGGAGCAGGGGAGGGAGGGUCCAGCUCCCCCAAGAGCCAGGAUACCCCCACCCCACAGGGUAGAGCUGAGCCGGCAGCUGAGGUAGGACACCUACAGCAGUUCCUGGCAGCGCCCGAGGAAGGCAUGGCCCUGUGCAGCCUGCGCCAGCCACUGGCCUCGCUCCUGGGCCUUCACCUGCAGGGUGGCCCAGGCCUCCUGCACCUUGGCCAGGCCCCCCGGAGCUGCAGGAUGUAGCUGGCCCAGUCGGCAGGCCUCCGUCUGUACCCGUGCCACCUCCUUCUCCAUAGCUUCCAGCUCUCUCUGCAACCAGAGCAUGAGAUCAGGCCUCAGUCCCCCAACUGAGCCGAUGCAUGCUCUGUAUUCAGGAGCACCAGGCCUCUCUGAGGAACCACCUCCACUCUGCUGCACAAGCUGGGCCAAGUCCUAGGGCCCCUCGGGGAAGGAUCUGGGUUUCUGGAGAAGAGGCUGAAGCAGGCUGGGGUGGGAGGGCUGAGACAGAUCCCCUCAGCCACCGCCUUCGGGCGGGGGCUCAGACAGGCAAGCUGCAGGGCAUGGGCCUCACCUCCAGGCGCCUGUGCUGUUGCUGCAGGGUCCGCACAGAUGACAGGCUGUGGCCUCCGUCCUCUCCCUUCAUCAGGGCCGUCUUCUCCUGCAUCCUUCCCUGGAGCUCAGCCGCUGCCUGCUGAAAGCUGUGGACCUCAUGGGCUGCAGCCAAGUUCUGGGAGAGGAGAAAGGACCUGGUCAGGGCUGUUCUCUGCUCCCAGGAUUCCUUUCUCCCUGGAGACACGGCCUUCUGGGCCACCUCCUUUUGAACAAGGAGGACCAUGGGGCUUGAUGUGUCCCCAGGUACAGAAACCAUCCUCCAUGCUGCAGCCCUCAGUGAACGUGAUGAUAUGGGUCUGCGGCAGGCCAGGGGGUGGGGAGGGCGGGGAGAGGAGAGGGUCUUGUGCAUCUCAGGGAAAGGCAGACUCGAGGUGUUGGGUCCACGUGAGGGAGCAGGCCGGUUCUCGGGGAUCUGGCUGGCCCUGGCAGUACCACCUGCAGUGCCUCUCAUGGGGCUGGGGGACCAGGUCAGCUCAGGAGGCAGCCCCAGCCCAGGACCUACAGAGAUGAAAUGUCCUGGGCUGCAGCCAAUUCCUGGAAGAAAGCUGAGCAGGUGAGGGAGAAGGCGCAUUCACUUGAGGCCAGCAGGGUGUGUGUCUUGUUGGAACCAAAGCCUGUGGUAAGGAGGGCUUAGAGGGAUUUUUUGAAGACUCUGACACCCCUUAGCUUGGCCCGGCCUGUGAUCACCUACCUCUGUGCGGGCUUUUAUUGCUUGGUCCAACCUCUCCCAAGCGGCCUCAAUGCGGCUCCUCUGGGCUUGAAUGUGGGGAUAGCGCCUGGGUGCACCGCGCUCCAGGGUGCCUGCCAACUUCCUCAGGGCAUACACCUUGGCCUGGCCCAGGCUCUGCACUUCCUUUCUGAAAGCAUCAAACUUCUCUUCCAGCACCUGCAAAGGUAUGAGGCCCAGCAGGGUCACUCGAGAUGGUAUCAUGAGCUCUCAAAGCUCAUGAAGAGCUCAGCAGACUCUGAUGGCUCUGAAAUCCCUCAGCCCAGGUUCUGGAACCAUCGGGAUCCUCCCUAGGACACCCUCUCCAGGCUCCUUUCUGCUGACUCCCCAGCAACCCUUUCAUCCCAAGGCAGGCCUUCCUCAGCCUCUGCCCAUUCCCCGUGAGGUUUGCUCAGGAGUAACUCACCUUGACACCCUCCAGGUCCUGCCCGUAGUCCUGGGACUCGGCGGUGGCCGCCUUGGUGGUCAGCCAGGCAUCGAGGAGCAGGGUCUCUCGCUCCAGCUGGUGUAGCUGCAGCUGCUCCUGCAGGCCGUGCCCCCUGGCCUCCGCCCUCCGCAGCAGCUCUGCGUGGGCCUCCCGAACUGCCUGCAGCUGGGCUAGCACCUUGGGGCUGUGGGAAGAGAGCGACAGUCUGGACUGCAGCCCUUCCUUUCCAGGCUGGAGCAGUCUCCUGCCAUCUCUGUAGGGGGCUUCUCUCUGCUCCUUCCCAGAUGGUGUGGCUUCCGCCCACCUUUCUGGGUUCUUCCUGCUCUCCAGGAGUGCUGCUGUCUGCUGCAGCCGCUCGAUGCGUGGGCUGAACGCUUCCAGGUCUCUCUUGGUGGCCUCCAGCCGCCGCAGAAGGGCCUGUGUGGCUUCAGCACUGUGGCCCAUGUCCUCGCUGUCCAGGACAUGGCCCCGCUCAGCCAGCCAGGAUCCCGCCUCCAGGAGCUGGGGGUGACAGAGUGGAGAUCCGUUUUCCCGGGGCACCCUCCAGGGCUCAGGAUUUACAGCCACGAUUCUCAGCCUGGCUGCACAGGGGAAUCACCUGGGAGCUGUCAUGCUCCCUCGGCCUGGCCCCACUCCUAAGCAGCCUCAUCUGGUCCGGAACACAGCCAGGGCAGCAGUGUUUUGUAAAGGGUCCAGGUGAUUGUUUUUUUCCAUGCAAAAUAGACAUUUUAUUCUUGGUUCAUAGGCAUAGAUUUUGUCACUUAAAACCAAGUUUUAGCAAAUAUUCCUUGCAGUGUUUCUCCCUUUCAUUUAUUAGCCUAUUUACUUCAGUUUUUCUUCCUUUACAAUUGUAUUCACCAUUGUGAAGUAAUUGAGGUAUAAUUGUCCAAGUGAAGGUUCCAGGUGAUUCUCAUGUAAAGCCCUGGUUGAGAACCACUGAUCUAGAGGGAAAAAAGACAAAAGCCAACCCAGCCAGCAGCUGUGUUCUGGGAAACAUGUGGAAGGAAGCCCUUGGGGGCAGGAGACCACUGAGUGGAGGAGACGAAAGGUGCCCAGGCCAGGAGCCCCGGAGUGACCUCCCGGCCGCACUCGCCCUGUGUUCCAGGCCUGCCUGCUGUGCCCUGCCCAUCACUCCCCUCACCUCAGUCAGAAACUGCUGGGCCUCCUGAGCCUGCUGCAGCAGAAGCCGCCUCUGCGCCGCCUCUGCCCGCAGGUGGGCCAUGGCCUUCUCCAGCUGCUGCACCCGGGCGGCCACCUCGUGGGCGGCAAAGUGCCCAGCCUGCACCAGCUUGUGCCCAGUGCCCAGCACCACCUGGGUCAGAGCCUCGUGGCUGCUCAUCUCACUCUCCAGGUUCUGUGGGGGAGGAGGCAGGAGGAUGCGGAUGUUGCUGACCCUUGGGGGACUCCCACAGUUGUGCUUGAAGUUUCACGGGACCCCACUAAGUUGUCCCCAAGGAGUUCCCUGUCCCCAUGACUCCCAAAGAAUCCAGGGCAUUCCAAAAGCCCCCACAGGCAGAGAGUUCCUGGCUGGGCCACAGAAAGUGCCGUUUGCUUGGCUGAGAAGCCCUGCUCAUGUGCGAGGCCGGCCCUCCCCGGGUGGGCCCACACCUGGUGCUGCUCCUGCAGGUGCCGCACCGCACUCAGGCUCUGGCCAUAGUCCUGGGCAGUGGCCAGAGGCAGCUUCUCCUGCACCCAGGCCAUUUCCUCGUCGGCGUCCCUGAAGAACUUCAAGAGGAGGCUCCGGGCCUCCAGGGCCGUCCUGCGCUCCUGCAGGGGCUCCCUCAGGCUCUUGAACCUGCAGCAGUGGAGGGUGGGACCAAGGGAGGCAGGGACCAGGGUGUCAGUAUUAGGGAUACCUAGUGACACAAAUCACCCAGCUGUGGCCCUCACCAUGGGCAAGGGGAGAAAGUGAGAAGACAUCAGUUAAGAGGGCAGGGGUGGGGGUCCCUCCAGGAAGGCAGGGAAGAGAAGCUGAGGGCACGGGUGGAUCUACCUCUGAAGAAGCCGCUGGGCCUGCUCUUCCACAUCUUGGGCAAGGCAGUGGCCUUCCCUCACAAAGGCCUGGGCCUGGCCCAGCAGUGCCUCAGCCUGCCUGGCCUUCUUGUCCACUGCUGCCUCCAGCUCCCUCUGUGUGCCCAGGAGCUCGCCCACCCCAGGCAGGGCCUGGCCCACAGUGGGGGCUCUCAGCUCAACCUCGAUGGGCUCCAGCCAGUUCUCCAGUUCCUCCAUGCUCCGCCGCAGACGCAGGGCCUAGGGUGGAAAGUGAGGUAGGCAGGAGGGGAGUGGCCUGGAGCCUGGCCAGCCACCCCUCGGCCUGCACAACCUCACCUCACAGGCCUUCUGGAGCUUGGCCACCUUCUGGAAGUUGUCUUGCAGCUCACCCCAGAGUGCUCCCAGCUACUCCAGUCUCUCCUGGAUGGCCUCCGAGGCUGGGUGGCCCCCCUGCAGCAGCCUCUGUCCCUCCUGCAGCCACAACAUGAAACACACCUUGUGGACUCAGGACUGCCAGUACCAGGGCACUUGUGUUGACUCUGACUACCAGCACUAGAGCUGCAGAGUCCCUGCAGUCCAGCUGCAUGAUCUUGAGCAACUUUCUUUACCUAAGCCUCAUUUUCCUCAUCCGUAUCAUAGAGAAAAUAAUGGUUAUUUUGUUUAAAUGAGAUAAGUCAUAUAAAAUACUUAGCAGGGUGAUUUAUAUCAGAGGGAGCCAGCCUGGGGUCAGGACCUGCCUUUGCAGGUGGAAAAGAGAAUGUUUUAAAAAGUGCUAUGCUGGGCACAGUGGCUCAUUCCUGUAAUCCCAGCACUUUGGGUGGCUGAGGCAGGUGGAUCGCCUGAGCUCAGGAGUUUGACACCAGCCUGGACAACAUGGCAAAACUCCAUCUCUACCAAAAAUACAAAAAAGUAGCUGGAUGUAGUGGUGUGGGCCUGUGAUCCCAGCUACUUGGGAGGCUGAGCUGGGAAGAUCACUUGAGCCUGGGAGGCGGAGGUUGCAGUGAGCUGAGAUCUUGCCACUGCACUCCAGCCUGGGUGACAGAGCAAGACCCUGUCUCAAAGUGGCUAUGUUUUGACUCCUUCGCUCACAGGACUGGUGGCUAUGUCCUGUUCACAUCAAAAUGUUAUCUUUAAAAUUACUGAAAAGGUGCCAUUUUUGGAGAAGGUGCCCGCCGCACCCCCCCCCCCGCCCCCGCUGCCGGAAAGCAACUUCUUCUCACUACACUUCUGCCUAAACAACCGCUUAGCCAGGUGCCUGCACACAGAAAGUACUGGAUAACGCUGGCCAACGUUACUGUGGUUCAGCACCAGCUCUGGGGCACUGUCCUGUGUUCUGCCUGGAGAGCUGUCCCACCACCCUCCUGCCUGCAGGGCCUCACCCGCUGCAGCUCCUGCUGUUGGUGCAUGCUCGCGUCCAGCUCCGCCUGGAAAUUCUGCUGCUUCUGUAACUGUGCUGGCAGCAUGGCUGUGUCCAGCAAACCCUCCUCCAGGGCCACCAGGUUCUUCUCCCUCAGCCACGCAGCUACCUGGGCAUGUGGGGAGGACAGGCCUGCUGUCCAGGGCUUUCCCCUUCCCCUGACCUCUGGGAUACCCUAGAGGAAGGGUGGCCUUUCCCUGGGUCAACUCCUUCCCCACCAUGACCGCCUCCCUCUCCAAGUGAGGCGAACCUCCUGGGAGUCCUGCAGGAAGGCCUGCAGCUGCCGGAGCUCCUCCAGGCGAUGGCGGCGGGUCCUGGCUUGCCUGAAGAGCGCCUCCUUCCUGCCAGGAGGAGAGGCUUAUGGGCCUGGAGCCACCCCCGGGGCCAGGUGGGGUGCCCGUCCAGCCUAGGCUUUCUCGGGUAUGAAUAUACUCCGAGUCUGGAGUUUCCUUUGGAAUAAAGGUACAUUGCACUCCC